Molecule: long non-coding RNA, 4486 nt
Organism: Struthio camelus australis
Lineage: Eukaryota; Metazoa; Chordata; Aves; Struthioniformes; Struthionidae
Source: RefSeq, a predicted model, not a curated record
ACCUCGGACUAGAUUUCCCGGGAAGCUGCACACGAGGCAUCGUGGGACAGUCCACGACAUGGCACUACAAGGGAAGGCGACCGCCACGCUGGUGGGGGAGCCUGUCAUCGCUGCAAAAUGAAAUGCGUGCUGAACUGGUUACAUGCAGCUAGCCAUAUGCUAGUUGAGCCUUCUGGCAAGAGGCUGUAUUUACUCCACGGGAAACAGUAUCUUAAAAGUGCAGGAUGUUUUAUUGGAAGACCAAAUGCACAGAUCUGGAAGACUGCUCCACAACUGAUUCCGUCCAACAGAACUGGAAAUAGCUCGUGUGUCUUAGUUAUCCAGAGGAGCUCACUGUUCAUAUGGACUACAGAACCAUUGGCAGCCACCAUAUCUUUGGAUAAAAGAACAGAAAAAUAAUGUUGGAGUUUUAGAGAAAAUGCAACAGCUCACCCAGAACUUGCCCAAACAUGUUCUUCUGUGUUUGCUUUAUCGACUCAGACUAAAUUGCUCUAAAUUUGCUCUAAGUUGCUUCCAGACUAAAUUGCUCCACAGUUCAAGCUGCCUCAUUACAGAAGUUCUCCUGUUUUGCAAAAUCUUCAUCCAUCAAUGCUGAGCUCAUUGUAUCAUAUUAGUGCCUAUUAACAUGAGGCAGAUAUGGUGCUAUGGAUACAGCACUGCAAUGGUUGUCAGUUCUCUGGUCUUCUCUUCAGGCCAGCUAGCAAUGGAUGUCUUUCUGAUAUUUCUCUCAGUAACAUGAAAAUACUACUGCAGCUCCAUUUUAAAGCAUUUUGAGCUGCUCACGAGUGAAAUCCUAGCCUGAUUAAUCAUAACAUCGCUUUAAAUGCACAGCACACUACAUGAGGAAGAAGAACAUUAAGCAAAAGGCAGGAACCACAAUGGGAUGAGUUUUGGAUCACAACGAUGUUAGGUUUGGAUUUUUAGCUCUAAUCCUGUGGCAGUCUAAGGCAUUUACAGACCUUGCCUUAAAGAACAGAAGACCUGUCCUGCACAGUACCAGUUCCUGUGAUUUGCACGGUGCCUGUGGAAGGCUGUCACUGAAGCCAAUUAAGAAAAAAAAAAUUGAAAACUCUAUAAAGGUGUUUGGAAAGUCAGAAAUAAAUCCUACCUGUCAUUUCUUACUCAGUUGAGCUAGCAAAUCAUGAUGUUCGCUCAUUACCACCCUUGCACACUGCAGCAAGAGAAAGAUCUAGCACUGGAGAGCAAGGAUUGCACGUCACUUUGAGAACUGUGAUUAGCUCAAGUCUUAAGUAAAUAAGUUUGAAGCUGACAGUUCACUCAAUACUGUAAAGCCACUAAGCAUAGCUGGCACAUGCUGUCAUCACUGGCAGUAGAGGCUUAGGGGGAGUGAGCAAGGAGACUGAAUUACGACUCCUCCUGCAGACAGGGUGAACCGCUGAGGCCACAGCUGAGAUCACUGGCUAGACACCGCGGAGGAGCGGGCGCAUGAGGCCAUUGUACAGGGCGCAGAGACAAAGAAAGUACUUCUGUGAACAAGGGAUUAACACUUUCCCAAGCAUGGGCCAAAACACAUGUGGAUUUCAUCCAUGAAGUCUGGUUUUGUGGCUCUCGCGUGUUUUACCUUUGUAAGAAAAAGGUACUGCCUGUGUCUUGUUAACAUUGACUCCUGGGUGACCAGCCUAAGUCCCUUACCUUCUCCUUUCUCAUUCUCCCGCCCAGCUCGCUUUAGAUAAUUUUCUCCACAUGGGGAUGUUUUGGAUAUUCAUUUUUAAAAUAUAAACUAUUAACUAUCAUUAUGACACUUGGGCUGCUAAUUACUGCUUGUAUUGUGUCUCUGAGCCUUAAAGAAAUACUAAGAAAAUAGAGACUAUCUAGCAGUAUUCAUUAUCUCAAGAUGUGGUCCCUGUGAUCCAGCCAUUUUUAUGCAUACCAUUCAAUAAAGCAUUAGCUUAAAUUUAAAGUCAGCUUUAGCUUCCUUAAGUCAUAGUUCUGUCAUGUCAUUGCCACAUUAAUUUUCAGAACAGCAAAGCUUUACACUGUUCAUCUAAGUAUAUAAAUGUAUUAUUUUGGUCAUAGACUGUACAUCUUUCAUGGGUACUAGUUUACAUAGAUCUGUCAGGAGCUUUUACUGGACUGUAACAGAAACCCAUCUAAAAGUAAUUUAUUAACAUUUUGAGGCUAUCUGAAGGCCACAGGUAAUCAAGAUUUGAGGCAAAAAGAGGUGGAUGUUUGUUUGAAGGAGACAGAAUUUGAUCAGCCUUGAAACUAUUGGGGCCAAAAACCUUCCUAGCAGGCACAGGAGGCUCCUGCUGCCAGUUAUUAAAAAUUACAGCUCUGAAAACUGACAUGCAGAAGGUGCAGGUUCAUCUGAUUGUUUUCAAAUCUCACAUGCCAGUGACUGACAAAUGAUUUAAAAGUCUUCAGAAACUUAGAAAGGGAUAAGUCAAAAGAUUUAAAGCCCCAGAUGCUGAAGUCAGAUGACCUUAUGAGGCACUUUGUUUUCAUUAAAAAGUCUAGUCCUCAUGAUUGCCUGCAGUCAAAAUGUUUGAAUUUCAGAGAGCAAAAACAUUCCUGAUUCGUUGCAUUUUAAAUUUAAUCUCCUGGUUUUGGCUGUUAUUUUUGUAUAUGUGGGGUUGGUCGAAUGAGGUACUCAUGGACCCAGUCAAUCAGUAGGUCUUUCUUUCAUCAUGAAGGCUGAGGGAAUUGUCAUCACCAACAUUAAAGUCUAAAUGCCACUUAGCUGAGAUUUACAAGGUGGAAGAAUUAGAAGUCUCCUUUGCUCAAAGUUGUAUGUUCAAUCCUUUCUCAGAAAACACUGAAUUUUUGUCUUUUUCCUUGAAAUGUGAAAGUUUUCAUUUUUCAUAGAACAUAAAAUCAAACAUUCUUUCAUUCCUGACCCAUAUUUAUAGUAGGUCAAGUAAUUAUGAAUGAAAAUGCCAGUUUGCUUAUACGAAUUCUGUUUAUGACAGAGAUUAACUUAAGAAAUUUGUACUCCUGGCAUCUUAUUAAUACUGUUCUGCUGUAAAAUUCCUCAGGCAACAGGCAAAAUAAUGACUUAAAACUCAAACAGGAUAAUUACCUUACAAUGCAGGCAUUUUGAAGAUGGAGUUAGCUCUGGAUUUUACAAUACAAUUUGUUAGGACCUUAUCCUCUAUAGAAAAGGGUGCAAAACAUUCACAAUUACCUUAAUUUAUUUCCAUGACAUUUUGGUUUAGAUCCAAUCAAUUCCUAGUACAUUAAGGAAAAUCGUGUCAUUAUUCAAUAACAGAAUUUAGCUAUUCAAAGCAGUUUUCUUAACAUUUAAUUUUGAAAAUGUAAGUCUUCAAAUCUUAGCACAGUGAAUUUCUUUCUGUGGUCAAACACUUUGAUUUAUACAAUAUCUUUAUUGUAUCUAGCGUGCCAAGAUGCUCUGAUGAAUGAAAGAAAUGGACACGCUAAGAACAACCCAUUGACUCCCAGCUUAAAGCACCGUGUUCCUCUGAAAAAAGAGCGAUGUGCUUGCCUACAUAAGGACAUAGAGGAAGGUUUUCUAAAUGCAACUCUAAAGCAGAUUAGAUAAACUACAUCUAAAUCCUAAGUGGACACACUUCAGAAUUCAUUGAUUUGGUUUAGCUUCCUUCGCUUCCAAGUGGAAGUAAACAAAGUUCAUUCUGUUUAGCUAUAAUCCACAUAAACAUCACAGGUGAAGAUAACUAACUUUCUUGAAUGUUCCUUUUUAAGUAUACCUGAUGUAACAAUAGCAUAACAGAUGAAUUCAACAGAUGAAUCUCCUUUCUGAGUGGAGCAGCUCCUCAGACUCCUGCAACAGGAGAAGAUCUUUAUAUUGCGUUUCAUCCUUCCUUAGUCCUGCCAAGCCAAUGCAUACAAGAGGGAACAUUCUGGGUUCUCUGUACAUAGCUAGAAUUUUUUUACCGGCCAAGCUGCUGAAGAUUAUAAAGCUACUCAGGACUAAUUUAACAUGGGAACGUUUGUUAUUCAUGAAGAUGCACAAGAAGAUGGAAAUAUUUCACUAUAAACCUGCUUUUUUGUGUUCCAGCUCCACAAAACUGAAAAACUUGCCCUAACCAGGCAGCCUGGAGAAAAUUUACAUGAAUCUCUCAUUGUUAAUUUUAAGUCUUUGACAUCAUGUACACGUAAGGUGCUUACCCUUGUCAUUUCCUCACUGAACUCCAACAUGAGCAUGACUUAGCUGGACCUGGUCAGAGCUCCUAUUUCUGUUUGCAGAAAAAUAUUGUUUUUUGUUUUUUGUCUGAAAACUAAGCCAGACUAAGCAAUGAGGACAGUCUUUCAGAAACAGAAACAUUAAUCAGACGGGCACUUAAGGACACUGAUACAGAUGCUUGCUCUUGGACACCAACAUGUGGUGAGGGCAAUCCAGAAAAUGGGAACACAGAAACAAAAGUCAAUUACCUCCCUGAAGUAUACUUUGCCCUCUCUGCAAAGAGAUGUAAUCUCGGCAAAGGAAAGGUUGAUCUGGGGAAAAAAACAAAAAAGAAAAAAAUCCACACCCUAAAAUUAGUCUUAA